RNAcentral lists this long non-coding RNA (2521 nucleotides) under Homo sapiens (human). RNAcentral's name for it is "HSALNT0363849". The record is from RNAcentral. Lineage: Eukaryota; Metazoa; Chordata; Mammalia; Primates; Hominidae.
GGGCGGGGACCCUCGGAAGCCAGCUGGGUGGCGAUCGCUUGUCUGCCUUGGCAGGCCCCUUGUGCAGUCUUUUCCCGGCGUGAGCGUGCAGGGAUUGAAAAGGAAUGCUUUAUGGUUCAGCAGAGAGCCACCACGCAGGAUGCACUGGGACCUGAGAACCGUCGGGCAGUCCCACGAGCUCUUUCAUGACCAGCUCCAACCGACAAGUACACGCCCCUUCGCACUCCACUAGCUAGUAAGCUGAGCUACAAGGUGUGCCAGGCACCCAGGACGCCGAUUCACCGCUUCAGAGCCCUCUUUCUUCCAUUCACUUACCUGUCUAGUCAAACACCCAUCAGACCUUUGCCAGGUGUCCAGCCUGGGCACUACGUUUCAGAAAAUGAUGCACAUAGAAUCCCUAACUGAAAGGAGAUCGCAGCUCAUUUGGUACAAAGUGGUAACGGCAGAGUCCCAAAACACAUGAAGCAAGAACUGACAGAACUGGAGGGAGACAUCAAUCAAUAACAACAGUUGGAGAAUUCAAUACCCUGCUCUGAAUAAUGGAUAGAACAAUUAGGCAGAAGACCAACAAAGAAAGAGGAUAUUUGAACAACGUGAUAAGCCAAUUUGACCUAAUAAAUAUCUUUAUCUGUGAAACACCCUAGCUUUUAGCCUGGGUAAGGAGCUGGAGAGAUGUGAAAAUGUGGAAAGCAAGCCUAAGUCGCAGUGUGGCCUAUGCCUGAGAGCCAUCUUCAGUGCCCCCUUGUGGCUGUAUCUGGGAACCACAGACAGAAUCAUGGAACUGACCAUCUUCAGUCUCAAAGUGCUGCCCUCACCACUACACCCAGGGGCAGGUGGUCUUCGGGGGAAAGGCGGUUCCAGUUCCUUCUCCCAAGGUAACAACUCCCAUCCCAAGGCAAUGUUCACAGAACCUAUCAGAGUCCCCCCUGCCCUAUGCACAGCUUAAGACCAGGGUGGUCUCAGCUCUGAUCAGGCCACUGAGGGCAUCUGUCUGAGAUUUGGGACCCAGUUAUUGUCCCUGUUCUUCUUAGGCAGAUGGCGGAGUUCCCCAGUACACAGAAGGUGCUCACUCUUCACAAAAAGCAGUGCUUGAGAAUAACAGCCUACCUUGGUGGAGUAGCUUCGUUAGGGCCAGGGCUUGACUUGAAGCCAGAGACUGAGGUUGCAGUCCAGCCUUGGGUCAGCCUCAGGCUGGGGCUGGGGUGAUGCUGAGACCCUCACCAGAAAAAAGGCCUUUACCCCAUCCGAAAGGAAAUGGCUAUCCUCUGACCUGAGCACUCUAGCCUGAGGCCUGCCUGGCGCUAGAAGCCAGCCUCUGUUGUCCCCUCCCAGCACUCCUCCCACUGCUCUGCCUUUCUGCCCACAUAGAAACUCUGGAGACACCAGCUCCCCACCCUUCCAAGCUAAGCCCCACUGCUGUCUCUGCCUCCUCCAUCUUUCAAACCGGCAAUGUUUUUCCAAUCAGGCCUCCCUAUCCUUCCCCUACUGCUCUGCCCUUCACUGCCUUCCUUUCCUGGCGACUCUCAGCCGCCCUUCAAGGCCCAGCUCAGGCGUUCUUUCCUCAGUGACGCACCCCCGGGCAGGCUGGGGCUUCUGGCACAGCUCUGGCCACCCUGCGUAUCUUCAGCUGUUCCCAAUGUUUGUCUCUGCUCCCAAGUAGCUCUCUCACAGUUUCUGGCACAGAGGAGUUGGCCCUGAGGGGGAUGAACAGCAAGGACAGGCAGGACAGUUCUGGCAGUAAGGAAGUUAGAACAAGGUCCUUUGGUCUCGGCUAGGAAGGGUUCCCAGGUGCUUAGUACUCACUGAACAGAAAGGAAUUAGAAAAGAGGUGGCAUCUUGUAAUCGCUAGGGUGACAGCAGGCCAGGCCUCUGCCUUUUUGGUAGAGCUGAGGCCAGGGGCAGGGAACACAGCUUGAGUGACCCAUAAGGAGCCUUCCAGCUCAGCCACCCAAGGGCCCCCCAGCUGGACAGGAGCCCUUUACCACAUGGUAGGCAUCAUGUCAAGUGGCUCCCAAUGACCCCUGCCCCCUGGCAUCCAUUCCCUGGUGUAAUCCCCUCCCGUCCAGUGGGAGCUGGACCGAGCAAUGUUCAUUUAAUGAACAGAAUAUGGCAAAAGUGACAGGAUAUCACUUCCCAGGUUAGGUUAUAAGGGCCUGGGACUUCCGUCUUGCUCGCACACUUCACUCCACUCACUGGCUCUUCUUGCUAAGUAAGCUGGUGUGCCGUGAGCUACCCCAUGGAAAGGCCCAUGUGGCAAGGAACUGAAAGUGGCCUCUGUCAACAGCCAGUGAGGAAGUCAAUCCUGCGAACAACUGCAGGAACGGCCUUGGGAGUGGAUCCUUCCUCAGCCCGGCUCCAAGACAACUGCAGCCCUGUGAGAAACCCUGAGUGGAGGACCAAGCCAAGCCUCAAAUCGUGACUUGGAACUGGGAGACAACAGAUGCUGUUGGAAGCCACUGAGCUCUGAAGUAGUUUGUUACACAGUGACAGGUAACUUACACACCAUGGCAGGGUCAUGUGG